This 253-nucleotide ribosomal RNA is filed under the name uncultured bacterium. RNAcentral's name for it is "partial 16S ribosomal RNA". It matches the Rfam family "Bacterial small subunit ribosomal RNA", at positions 524 to 776 of the family's 1533-position model. The record is from RNAcentral.
UACGUAGGCAGCAAGCGUUGUUCGGAGUUACUGGGCGUAAAGGGUGUGUAGGCGGUUCCUUAAGUUUGCUGUGAAAUCCCCCGGCUUAACCGGGAGGGUGCGGUGAAUACUGAGGGACUAGAGUACGGGAGAGGAAAGUGGAAUUCCUGGUGUAGCGGUGAAAUGCGUAGAUAUCAGGAGGAACACCGGUGGUGUAGACGGCUUUCUGGACCGUAACUGACGCUGAGACACGAAAGCGUGGGUAGCAAACAGG